UGACGAGUGGCGGACGGGUGAGUAAUGUCUGGGAAACUGCCUGAUGGAGGGGGAUAACUACUGGAAACGGUAGCUAAUACCGCAUAACGUCGCAAGACCAAAGAGGGGGACCUUCGGGCCUYUUGCCAUCGGAUGUGCCCAGAUGGGAUUAGYUAGUAGGUGGGGUAACGGCUCACCUAGGYGACGAUCCCUAGUUGGUCUGAGAGGAUGACCAGCCACACUGGAACUGAGACACGGUCCAGACUCCUACGGGAGGCAGCAGUGGGGAAUAUUGCACAAUGGGCGCAAGCCUGAUGCAGCCAUGCCGCGUGUAUGAAGAAGGCCUUCGGGUUGUAAAGUACUUUCAGCGGGGAGGAAGGCGAUAAGGUUAAUAACCUUGUCGAUUGACGUUACCCGCAGAAGAAGCACCGGCUAACUCCGUGCCAGCAGCCGCGGUAAUACGGAGGGUGCAAGCGUUAAUCGGAAUUACUGGGCGUAAAGCGCACGCAGGCGGUCUGUCAAGUCGGAUGUGAAAUCCCCGGGCUCAACCUGGGAACUGCAUUCGAAACUGGCAGGCUAGAGUCUUGUAGAGGGGGGUAGAAUUCCAGGUGUAGCGGUGAAAUGCGUAGAGAUCUGGAGGAAUACCGGUGGCGAAGGCGGCCCCCUGGACAAAAGACUGAC
RNAcentral lists this ribosomal RNA (660 nucleotides) under Enterobacter hormaechei. RNAcentral's name for it is "bacterial SSU rRNA". The record is from RNAcentral. Lineage: Bacteria; Pseudomonadati; Pseudomonadota; Gammaproteobacteria; Enterobacterales; Enterobacteriaceae.